UCAGGAAAAAGGCAAAUCAGAUCGAAAGGCUGGGAUGCAAAGCUACGGGCCUUCUGCUAAAUUGCAAUGAUCGCAACGCCGUUAGGGAAGUUGCCAAG
RNAcentral lists this non-coding RNA (98 nucleotides) under Paenibacillus sp. RNAcentral describes it as "c-di-GMP sequence". It matches the Rfam family "c-di-GMP-I riboswitch aptamer". Rfam says of the family: GEMM was predicted in a large-scale screen for bacterial structured RNA regulatory elements. Lineage: Bacteria; Bacillati; Bacillota; Bacilli; Caryophanales; Paenibacillaceae. RNAcentral also lists the same sequence under 1 other name. The record is from RNAcentral.